ACUUUUCAGCUUAAAUUAAUAUACUCUUCUCUCUCAUGAAUUAUUAUUUAAGUUUACGUAUUUCACAAUAUGUUUCAAGAAAUUAAAAAGAAAAAAAUUCAAAAGAGAGAAAGAGUCUUUGAUCGGUGUUUGACGAGACACUGCACUUUAAUGGGCUUCUACUCUUUAUUUCUUCUUCUUCUCUCUCUCUCUCUCUUCCAAUUGCAAACAAACCCUAGCUACCUCUCUCUCUCUACAUCUCAUCAUGAACGAUCCUGAAAAUCCCGAUCUGACCAACCACGACUCCUCUUGGACACAACUCACAGCUCCAGACUCUCACUUCUUCCACAGAGACACUUCCGACAUCUUCUCUGACUUUGUCGGGAACCUCCACGCUUCCUCCCAAUCCGAUCAUCAUCAUCAUCCUCACUCCCUCCGGUUUGAUACCGGUUUAACACCAACUUCCGGUGUCCCAUCUUCCGUUACCACCACCACUCUACCCUCUACUCCUUCCUCUUCCUCAUCCCCCGCAGCUGCUCUUUCUGUUGCCGUUACAGAGGUUUCAACCUCUAAUGAUCUCCCCGCCACCUCCAGUUCAACCGAGGAUCCAACUGAGAACUCAACUGCCCCCGCCGCGAAAGCACCGGAGACGCGAACGGAGGAGAAGAAGAAGGCUCAGAAGCGAAUCCGGCAGCCAAGAUUCGCAUUCAUGACCAAGAGUGAUGUGGAUAAUCUUGAAGAUGGAUAUCGAUGGCGCAAAUAUGGACAGAAAGCUGUCAAAAAUAGUCCAUUCCCAAGGAGCUACUAUAGAUGCACGAACAGCAGAUGCACGGUGAAGAAGAGAGUGGAACGAUCAUCUGAAGAUCCAUCGAUAGUUAUCACAACAUACGAAGGACAACAUUGCCAUCAAACCACUGGAUUCCCUCGUGGUGGAAUCCUCACCGCUCACGACUCUAGUAACUUCACAUCCCAUCAUCUUCUCCCUCCUCCAUUGCCAGAUCCUUAUUACUACCAAGAACUCCUUCAUCAACUUCACAGAGACAAUACUUCUUCGCUGAGAUUACCCCAAUCUACUACUGAAGGACCUGCUGCAGUGUCGUCUAUUAAUCCACCAGAAGAAGGCUUGCUUGGUGAUAUUGUACCUCAAACCAUGCGCAAUACUUGAGGUACCCUCAGCAAAUCAUCACAACCUUGGUAACAAAUAAGGAGAGGUACUAACUAAUUUUAUAGAAGAUAUCGCAGACUGGAAAACAAUACGGCCACAACGGGUUGUAAGCAGAGAUCUCUAUAUUAUUUCAAUGUUGAUCAAUGGCGUCGGUUUCUUAAGAUGCAUGUAUGUGCACUUGGGGAAAAUGUGGAGGAUUUCCGGAUAUUAUUUUUGCUAAUCCUUUUGAGUUCUACAUUUAUUUGAGACUUUUUUCUAAUAACUUUAUAGGGUGAUAACUAUGGUCUAGCUUUAUUGCUUGGUGAAAUAUAUAUCUUCUAGUUGCUAUGUGAUGAAAAAUGGAUGUUUCGAACAAUGUUGAGAUCUACGUCAUUUUGAAUAUAUAGUGAUAAUAUAAUGCAAGUGUGCAAUUGGUGUCAUACGUUUGUUUGUAAGAGCAUCCUUAAAAAAACUCUCUACUUCAAAGUUUUCAAAACUUUUUAAAUUUCAAGGUGUUCUUCUCAAAAAAAAAAAAAAAAAAACUUCAAGUUUAAUUUCAAAAUUAUUUGUAUUUUCCACUAUAGUCCUUAUAUUUAUCAUAAUUAAUGUAAAUUCAUAUAUUUUAUAAAUAACUAGCACUUAUAUAAAAAUAUUACAUUAAUAUUAAUCAAUAAAAUAUUACACUUAUAAAUAGAAAUACAUAAUGAACUACAAGUAAAAUACCACAUUAUGCCAUAAAAUUAUUUUUAUAAUGCUCCACUUCGGUUAUACAAAUUGUUUUGGACAAUAUUUUGGAGGUUCCGGAGCAAAUUUGCAAGAUUAUUAAUUAGUAUUGUUGAAAUAUUUUUAAUUUGUGUUAUAAUUAUGUCUUCGAGUACCUUUAAAAAA
Molecule: RNA transcript, 2011 nt
Organism: Brassica rapa (field mustard)
Lineage: Eukaryota; Viridiplantae; Streptophyta; Magnoliopsida; Brassicales; Brassicaceae
Gene name: probable WRKY transcription factor 57
Source: RefSeq, a predicted model, not a curated record